GUGCUCUUUUCAGCAGUACCAUAUACUAUAAUUGGAAUGAUACAGAAAAGAUUUCCAUGGCCCCGUGGGCAAGGCUGACAUGCACAUUCAUGAAGCCGUCCUUUUUCUU
Small nuclear RNA from Fukomys damarensis (Damara mole-rat), 109 nucleotides. NCBI's taxonomy places the organism in Eukaryota, Metazoa, Chordata, Mammalia, Rodentia, Bathyergidae. The record is from Ensembl.